CAGCAACCGUAUCAUUAGUUAAUUGCAAGCGUAGUUUAUUAGACAUCAACUCGCAGAAUGUGGACAGAAAGGAAUAAGUGCACACGUACGGGUUCAUUAUAACAGUAGUUUUCUCUCUCUCCAUCUAUUCAGAUCGUUACUGUGUUCUGAACUAUAAGAUUUAUCUAUUCAUAUUUAGUGCUUUACAAACUGAAAGUAUAGGCUAUAAGGCCAAAGUGUUAGAGAUUAGGAACAGUUUUUUUUUAAAGUGCAAUUUCAUGCAAGACCUGUCCAUUCUUGUACCCAAAUCUUGAAAUCUUCUCAAAAAUGGUGGUAGAUAAGAUAUGUAGAAUUGAUGGCAAUAACGGGAGGAAUUUAUUUUCAUUCCAUCUGUACCAGUUUUUGCUGGUUCACGAUUUUUUAUUAAAAAAAAACCUGCAAAAAACUUGAAGAACGUUGUUCGUGGACUUUAUUUGACUCAUAUUCGGCAACAUAUAACCUCUCUUUUUUUCUAUUCCUUUUGAACGUGUUCUUUGAUGGACAACUGCAUCCACUUAUCAGGACAUCAGGAAUCACAUGGCCACAUCAGCCAUGUAUUUAAAUAUCCAAGAUAUCGUGGCUAGCGGCAUCUCUGCUAGAAUAAUACUUUCCUCGUAAAUAUCAGUGUGCGAUACAUGAGUUAGAGGGUCUAAGAAGUUCGAUUGCUGCUCUAGAUGUCCAUGAAGAUAUCGCUGCGUAAAACGUUAUCCAGAGAAACAAUUGUGUCUAGCAGAACUUCUCUACUAGAUCACGGUCAUCGUCUUCUAUAAGUCCAUUGUUUUUCUAAUAAAAUAACAAAAAGAUGCUUUCAUCAUUAAGGGAAAAUCGAUAUGAAUGUCGCAAGAAUACAUUCUGACAUCCCCAAAGCAAGUUGUAUGAUAAAGAACAUUAUGUCACAACUAUGGAUAAUCAUUUCUUGCUGGAGAUCAUGUAGAUAAGCCUAUGUAUAAGACAAAAUGUGAUAUUUACACCCCAAUAACACUAGAAAAAGCAUUUUUUGCAUU
Anopheles arabiensis is the source of this 1022-nucleotide long non-coding RNA. RefSeq lists it as uncharacterized. The record is from RefSeq and is a predicted model, not a curated record. NCBI's taxonomy places the organism in Eukaryota, Metazoa, Arthropoda, Insecta, Diptera, Culicidae. The transcript has 3 exons.